GUGUGUGACGCUGAAGAGGCCGCGGCCAGGUGAGUGUCACUGCAGUGUCACCUCAGUGUCACCUGUUUGUGUCACCUCAUUGUCACCUCCCUGUGUGCCUUUGUGUGCCCCCUUUGUGUCCUUGUGUCCCCCUGCACGACCUGCUCAGGUGUGUGACGCUGAAGAGGCCGCGGCCAGGUGAGUGUCACUUCAGUGUCACCUCCCUGUGUCACUUGUCUGUGUCACUGUGCAUCCCCUCUGUGUGUCCCUGUGUGCCUCCUGUGUGUCCCUGUGUCACCCCCGUGUCCCCUUGCACGACCUGCUCAGGUGUGUCACCCUGAAGAGGCCACGGCCAGGUGAGUGUCACCUCCCUGUGUCACCCUGUGUGUCCCUGUGUGUCCCUGUGUCACCCCCGUGUCCCCCUGCACGACCUGCUCAGGUGUGUCACCCUGAAGAGGCCGCGGCCAGGUGAGUGUCACCUCAGUGUCACCUCCCUGUGUCACCUGUCUGUGUCAC
This is a long non-coding RNA of Passer domesticus (house sparrow), 495 nucleotides long. RefSeq lists it as uncharacterized. Lineage: Eukaryota; Metazoa; Chordata; Aves; Passeriformes; Passeridae. The record is from RefSeq and is a predicted model, not a curated record. The transcript has 3 exons.